Non-coding RNA from Camellia sinensis, 653 nucleotides. NCBI's taxonomy places the organism in Eukaryota, Viridiplantae, Streptophyta, Magnoliopsida, Ericales, Theaceae. The record is from RefSeq and is a predicted model, not a curated record.
UUAAUGUUAGUUUUUAUUAAUUUUGAUUGUUUGGUAACAUAAUAUUAAUCUAUAUAGCAAAUAUAUAUAAAAAAUAAUAAUUUGCCGUGUCCCUGUUCCUAUUUUUUUGAAAUCACCGUGUCCAUGUCUGUGCUUCAUAGUGUAUUGACAUUGCAAUUCUUUUAUUUCCAUGAAUUAUGCACAUCAGUUAACUUACCUCAAUCUGUAGUAUCAUUUUAAAUCUUCUGUAUCUAACAAUGUUGAUGCAUGCAAUACUGGGUUGAAUUUUUUGAGAAAACUAAUGAAGUGCACUUUGUUUGACACUAGGUUCUGGACCUGUGUCAUAGAAUUGCGUGACGUUAACCAUUAUUUGAUGUUGAUUUCCUAGUUAUUCACUUCUUACUUUGAUAUCAUUUCUUACUUUGUUUCUCCAUCAAAAGGUUAUUAAUCAUCAACCAUACGAUCAGAAAGCAGACAUAUUCAGUUUUGCUAUUGUUCUGUGGGAGCUUGUCACCGCUAAGGUUCCAUAUGAUACGAUGACUCCUUUACAAGCUGCCCUGGGAGUGAGACAGGGCAUGAGACCGGAUCUUCCAGACAAUACGCACCCCAAGUUCCCUGAUGCUGUAAAUUUGAAUUAUGUAUUGUUUCAAUUUGUUAUGCUAGAUAGAUGUGAC